UGCAGUCGUGCGACGGCUCGCCCCAAAAGGGCGGGUACGGAGCGGCAGACGGGUGAGUAACACGUAGCUAACCUGCCCGUCCGCCGGGGAUAACCCUCCGAAAGGGGGGCUAAUACCCGAUGGUCUUCCGGGGCGCAAGCCUGCGGAAGUAAAGGCGCUACGGCGCCGCGGGCGGAGGGGGCUGCGGCCCAUCAGCUUGUUGGUGGGGUAAUGGCCCACCAAGGCGAUGACGGGUAGGGGGCCUGAGAGGGUGGCCCCCCACACGGGGACUGGGACACGGCCCCGACUCCUACGGGAGGCAGCAGUGGGGAAUCUUGGGCAAUGCCCGCAAGGGUGACCCAGCGACGCCGCGUGCGGGAAGAAGCCCUUCGGGGUGUAAACCGCUUUUCCGGGGGAAGAAUAAGGCGGGGAGGGAAUGCCCCGCCGAUGACGGUACCCCAGGAAUAAGGGACGGCUAACUACGUGCCAGCAGCCGCGGUAAGACGUAGGUCCCGAGCGUUGCCCGGAUUUACUGGGCGUAAAGUGCGCGUAGGCGGUUCGGCAAGUCGUCCGUGAAAGCCCGGGGCUCAACCCCGGGAGGCCGGGCGAGACUGCCGGGCUAGAGGACGGCAGAGGAGGGUGGAGCGGCCGGAGUAGCGGUGAAAUGCGUAGAUACCGGCCGAAAUCCCGAUGGCGAAGGCAACCCUCUGGGCCGGU
This 696-nucleotide ribosomal RNA is filed under the name uncultured bacterium. RNAcentral describes it as "bacterial SSU rRNA". It matches the Rfam family "Bacterial small subunit ribosomal RNA", at positions 56 to 738 of the family's 1533-position model. The record is from RNAcentral.